AGUCAUUCAUGGCUAGGUGGUUGAUGCAUUCUCUAAUUUCCACUAUGUGUUGGGUUCAAUCCUUGAUGUUAGCAAUUUUUAAGUUCACUUGUUUUUUUUUUAAUUUAUAAUUUUCAUUCUAUUGAUUCUCUUUUUAUAACUUCUUCUGAUUUUAUUAUUUAUUUUUAUACCCUUUUAUUUAAUCCAUUUUUUAAAAAUAUUUGUAGAUUUUAUUUUUUCCAUUUUUAAUUUUUAAGUGUGUUGUAAAUACCUUUUUACUUAUUUGUUUAUUUACACUUGACUUAUUUUUGGGGUCUUUUUACAAUGAACUUUUAAACAAUACCAACUUAAUUUUCAAUAAUUUCAAACCUUUGUACAUU
This 359-nucleotide long non-coding RNA is filed under the name Lathyrus oleraceus (garden pea). Its description in RNAcentral is "Pisum sativum (pea) long non-coding RNA (PSAT_LNC027927)". The record is from RNAcentral. Lineage: Eukaryota; Viridiplantae; Streptophyta; Magnoliopsida; Fabales; Fabaceae.